UUGUUGCCUUCUGGGAACAACAUCCUGAUGCUGUCUGGGUGUGUGAAGCAAAAACUCCAGCAUCAGUGAUUUUGUUGCCAGCAGAAGGACAAAAUCU
Molecule: microRNA precursor, 97 nt
Filed under: Poecilia formosa (Amazon molly)
Lineage: Eukaryota; Metazoa; Chordata; Actinopteri; Cyprinodontiformes; Poeciliidae
Description: microRNA 338-2 (ENSPFOG00000021064.1)
Rfam family: mir-338 microRNA precursor family (bases 11-81)
Source: RNAcentral